RNAcentral lists this ribosomal RNA (510 nucleotides) under uncultured bacterium. RNAcentral's name for it is "partial 16S ribosomal RNA". It matches the Rfam family "Bacterial small subunit ribosomal RNA", at positions 28 to 507 of the family's 1533-position model. The record is from RNAcentral.
GACGAACGCUGGCGGCGUGCUUAACACAUGCAAGUCGAACGAAGAGCGAUGGAAGCUUGCUUCUAUCAAUCUUAGUGGCGAACGGGUGAGUAACGCGUAAUCAACCUGCCCUUCAGAGGGGGACAACAGUUGGAAACGAAUGCUAAUACCGCAUACGAUCCAAUCUCGGCAUCGGGACUGGAUGAAAGGUGGCCUCUAUUUAUAAGCUAUCACUGAAGGAGGGGAUUGCGUCUGAUUAGCUAGUUGGAGGGGUAACGGCCCACCAAGGCGAUGAUCAGUAGCCGGUCUGAGAGGAUGAACGGCCACAUUGGGACUGAGACACGGCCCAGACUCCUACGGGAGGCAGCAGUGGGGAAUCUUCCGCAAUGGACGAAAGUCUGACGGAGCAACGCCGCGUGAGUGAUGACGGCCUUCGGGUUGUAAAGCUCUGUUAAUCGGGACGAAUGGUUCUUGUGCGAAUAGUGCGAGGAUUUGACGGUACCGGAAUAGAAAGCCACGGCUAACUACGUG